CGGCGGACGGGUGAGUAACGCGUGGGUAACCUGCCUCAUACAGGGGGAUAACAGUUAGAAAUGACUGCUAAUACCGCAUAAGCGCACAGGACCGCAUGGUCCGGUGUGAAAAACUCCGGUGGUAUGAGAUGGACCCGCGUCUGAUCAGCUGGUUGGCGGGGUAACGGCCCACCAAGGCGACGAUCAGUAGCCGACCUGAGAGGGUGGCCGGCCACAUUGGGACUGAGACACGGCCCAAACUCCUACGGAAGGCAGCAG
RNAcentral lists this ribosomal RNA (258 nucleotides) under uncultured bacterium. RNAcentral describes it as "partial 16S ribosomal RNA". It matches the Rfam family "Bacterial small subunit ribosomal RNA", at positions 96 to 354 of the family's 1533-position model. The record is from RNAcentral.